This 429-nucleotide ribosomal RNA is filed under the name uncultured archaeon. RNAcentral's name for it is "bacterial SSU rRNA". It matches the Rfam family "Archaeal small subunit ribosomal RNA", at positions 474 to 903 of the family's 1478-position model. The record is from RNAcentral.
UACCUGCAGCUCAAGUGGUGACCGCUAUUAUUGGGCCUAAAACGUUCGUAGCCGGCUGAGUAAAUGCUUGGGUAAAUCGUAUCGCUUAACGGUACGAAUUCCGGGUAGACUGCUCAGCUUGAGACCGGGAGAAGCUAGAGGUACUCCUGGGGUAGAGGUGAAAUUCUGUAAUCCUGGGGGGACCACCAGUGGCGAAGGCGUCUAGCUAGAACGGGUCUGACGGUGAGGGACGAAACCCUGGGGCGCAAACCGGAUUAGAUACCCGGGUAGUCCAGGGCGCAAACGCUGCUUGCUUGAUGUUAGCUGGGCUCCGAGCUCAGCUAGUGUCGGAGAGAAGUUGUUAAGCAAGCUGCCUGGGGAGUACGAUCGCAAGAUUGAAACUUAAAGGAAUUGGCGGGGGAGCACAGCAACGGGUGGAGCGUGCGGUUU